Molecule: ribosomal RNA, 253 nt
Filed under: uncultured bacterium
Lineage: Bacteria
Description: partial 16S ribosomal RNA
Rfam family: Bacterial small subunit ribosomal RNA
Source: RNAcentral
UACGUAGGGGGCAAGCGUUGUCCGGAUUUAUUGGGCGUAAAGAGCGUGUAGGCGGCUUUACAGGUCCGUUGUGAAAACUCGAGGCUCAACCUCGAGACGCCGGUGGAAACCGUAAAGCUAGAGUCCGGAAGAGGAGAGUGGAAUUCCUGGUGUAGCGGUGAAAUGCGCAGAUAUCAGGAGGAACACCCGUGGCGAAGGCGGCUCACUGGCCCGGUACUGACGCUGAGGUGCGAAAGCGUGGGGAGCAAACAGG